This 460-nucleotide ribosomal RNA is filed under the name uncultured bacterium. RNAcentral's name for it is "partial 16S ribosomal RNA". It matches the Rfam family "Bacterial small subunit ribosomal RNA", at positions 338 to 795 of the family's 1533-position model. The record is from RNAcentral.
CCUACGGGAGGCAGCAGUGAGGAAUAUUGGUCAAUGGACGAGAGUCUGAACCAGCCAAGUAGCGUGAAGGAUGACUGCCCUAUGGGUUGUAAACUUCUUUUAUAUGGGAAUAAAACGUUCCACGUGUGGGAUUUUGUAUGUACCAUAUGAAUAAGGAUCGGCUAACUCCGUGCCAGCAGCCGCGGUAAUACGGAGGAUCCGAGCGUUAUCCGGAUUUAUUGGGUUUAACGGGAGCGUAGGUGGAUUGUUAAGUCAGUUGUGAAAGUUUGCGGCUCAACCGUAAAAUUGCAGUUGAAAAUGGCAGUCUUGAGUACAGUAGAGGUGGGCGGAAUUCGUGGUGUAGCGGUGAAAUGCUUAGAUAUCACGAAGAACUCCGAUUGCGAAGGCAGUUCACUGGACUGCAACUGACACUGAGGCUCGAAAGUGUGGGUAUCAAACAGGAUUAGAUACCCUGGUAGUC